RNAcentral lists this ribosomal RNA (181 nucleotides) under uncultured bacterium. Its description in RNAcentral is "partial 16S ribosomal RNA". It matches the Rfam family "Bacterial small subunit ribosomal RNA", at positions 1320 to 1500 of the family's 1533-position model. The record is from RNAcentral.
GUGAAGUUGGAAUUGCUAGUAAUCGCGGAUCAGCAUGCCGCGGUGAAUACGUUCCCGGGCCUUGUACACACCGCCCGUCACACCAUGGGAGUUUGUAACACCCGAAGUCAGUAUCCUAACCGCAAGGGGGGAGCUGCCGAAGGCGGGAUAAGCGACUGGGGUGAAGUCGUAACAAGGUAUC